This is a long non-coding RNA of Nerophis ophidion (straightnose pipefish), 1097 nucleotides long. RefSeq lists it as uncharacterized. The transcript has 2 exons. NCBI's taxonomy places the organism in Eukaryota, Metazoa, Chordata, Actinopteri, Syngnathiformes, Syngnathidae. The record is from RefSeq and is a predicted model, not a curated record.
CACUAGGACUUGGGCUAGGACUCGGACUAGGCUUGAACACCGGUGGUGGAGGGCGCACUGGAGGUAGUGGACUAGCGAGUCGAAAAGUCGGUGGAGGAGGUCUAGGUGGCCUUAGUGGCUUGACCGGGGGAAACACAGGUGGAGGAGGUCUACUAGGAGGAGCUAAGCGGAAUAUCGGUGGAGGUGGCCUCAUAGGAGGCUGCGGUUUGACAGUUAGCAUCUGAGCUACUUCCCACCAAAGCUAUAGGCCUUAGCCCCUCCCUCCAGACGGGGAUCCCAGACCCGUUCCCUAUGGUCAGGGACUGACCUUAAGGGAGGGUGGUGUGAGGUUUGGAGGUGGGCAGACUCCUCCCCUUUAAGUUGACCAACAUGUCCUUUUGAAAAAGGAGAAAAAAACCCAGACUUGGGCGGGGAACGGGGCUUAAGAGGUGGAGGAAGAAAAGUAGGUAGCUCAUGUUGCCUUAGUUUGCAUCUAGAAAUAACAUCUGUAUAGAACUUAGUUGUGUCUAUAGAGUCCAAAAAAUCAUAGUCAAUAUUUGAAACAGGUUGAGAAUAAGACUCAACAAUAUAAAAAUCCUCAGAAAAAAUAUCAUCGACAGGGGGUGGUAUUGAGUCACCAGGGGGCGUUGACGAAAUGACGUCACCGUGAUGGACCGGUGGGCCGGAGGUAUGCCCUGGCCUUACAGCCCAGUCGGAAGAGUGGUUGGAAUAUGGAGAAAAAACAAAACUUCCAAACCUCAGGGAAGAGUACUGGGCUGUUGUCUGCGCGCUGCUGUCCGGGGAAAAAGUCUUCGCGGCUUGGCGAAGGGAAGACUUUUGGUGGUCCACUGCGAGGCGGCGUUGUGCUGGCUGUUUUCUGACACGAUGGCGAGGCAUAAUGGAUGCGUGUUGCUACCCCAGGGAUGCAAGAGGACCAGGACAGGCAGGAGUUGCAGGUAAGAUUAGAUUUAAUACAAAAACAAAAAUAAUACUGGUACAAAAUGCAAAGAAAAGGCGUGCCGAAUGCACGGAGAGCUAUGCUAAUAAUUAGCAACGAGAGCAGAGUACAGGAAUAGAGGUGCAGAGCGCACGCAAAGCUAAGGCGAGACUUAGCAAUA